CCUACGGGGGGCUGCAGUGAGGAAUAUUGGUCAAUGGCCGGAAGGCUGAACCAGCCAUGCCGCGUGAAGGUCAGUGCCCUAUGGGCGUUAAACUUCUUUUGUGCGGGAGCAAUAAUGGUCACGUGUGGCCAGACGAGAGUACCGUACGAAUAAGCAUCGGCUAACUCCGUGCCAGCAGCCGCGGUAAUACGGGGGAUGCAAGCGUUAGCCGGAUUUAUUGGGUUUAAAGGGUGCGUAGGCUGGGAGGUAAGUCAGCGGUGAAAUGCCCCCGCUCAACGGGGUGAAGUGCCAUUGAUACUGCCUUGCUUGAAUGCGGAUGACGUGGGAGGAAUGUGUGGUGUAGCGGUGAAAUGCAUAGAUAUCACACAGAACACCGAUUGCGAAGGCAUCUCACGAAUCCGCGAUUGACGCUGAUGCACGAAAGCGUGGGUAUCAAACAGGAUUAGAUACCCCUGUAGUC
This 460-nucleotide ribosomal RNA is filed under the name uncultured bacterium. RNAcentral's name for it is "partial 16S ribosomal RNA". It matches the Rfam family "Bacterial small subunit ribosomal RNA", at positions 338 to 795 of the family's 1533-position model. The record is from RNAcentral.